This 252-nucleotide ribosomal RNA is filed under the name uncultured bacterium. RNAcentral's name for it is "partial 16S ribosomal RNA". It matches the Rfam family "Bacterial small subunit ribosomal RNA", at positions 524 to 776 of the family's 1533-position model. The record is from RNAcentral.
GACAGAGGAGGCAAGCGUUAUCCGGAAUUAUUGGGCGUAAAGCGUUCGUAGGUGGUUUGACAAGUCUGGGGUUAAAGCCCGGAGCCAACUCCGGAUCGGCCCUGGAAACUGUCAGACUUGAGUAAGGUAGGGGUUGCGGGAAUUCCCGGUGUAGCGGUGAAAUGCGUAGAGAUCGGGAAGAACACCAGCGGCGAAAGCGCGCAACUGGGCCAUUACUGACACUGAGGGACGAAAGCUAGGGGAGCGAAUGGG